This 253-nucleotide ribosomal RNA is filed under the name uncultured bacterium. RNAcentral's name for it is "partial 16S ribosomal RNA". It matches the Rfam family "Bacterial small subunit ribosomal RNA", at positions 524 to 776 of the family's 1533-position model. The record is from RNAcentral.
UACGAAGGGGGCGAGCGUUGUUCGGAUUUACUGGGCGUAAAGGGCGCGCAGGCGGCUCAUUUUGUCAGGCGUGAAAGCCCCGGGCUCAACCUGGGAAUGGCGAUGGAUACUGGCUCGCUAGAGUGCGGUAGAGGAGAGUGGAAUUCCCGGUGUAGCAGUGAAAUGCGUAGAGAUCGGGAGGAACAUCAGUUGCGAAGGCGGCUCUCUGGACCAGCACUGACACUGAGGCACGAAAGCGUGGGGAGCAAACAGG